UAGCAUGGAAUAAUAGAAUAGGACCUCAGUUCUGUUUUGUUGGUUUCGGAACCGAGGUAAUGAUUAAUAGGGACAGUUGGGGGCAUUAGUACUGCAGUGUCAGAGGUGGAAUUCUUGGAUUUCUGCAAGACUAACUUCUGCGAAAGCAUUUGCCAAGGAUGUUCUCAUUAAUCAAGGACGAAAGUUAGGGGAUCGAAGACGAUUAGAUACCGUCGUAGUCUUAACCAUAAACUAUGCCGACUAGGGAUCGGACGAUGUUAUUUUACUGACACGUUCGGCACCUUACGAGAAAUCAAAGUUUUUGGGUUCCGGGGGGAGUAUGGUCGCAAGGCUGAAACUUAAAGGAAUUGACGGAAGGGCACCACCAGGAGUGGAGCCUGCGGCUUAAUUUGACUCAACACGGGAAAACUUACCAGGUCCAGACAUAGUAAGGAUUGACAGAUUGAUAGCUCUUUCUUGAUUUUGUGGGUGGUGGUGCAUGGCCGUUCUUAGUUGGUGGAGUGAUUUGUCUGCUUAAUUGCGAUAACGAACGAGACCUUAACCUGCUAACUAGUCCGUAUUACCCCGGUAGUACGCCGACUUCUUAGAGGGACUAUCGGCUCAAGCCGAUGGAAGUUUGAGGCAAUAACAGGUCUGCGAUGCCCUUAGAUGUUCUGGGCCGCACGCGCGCUACACUGAUCGGUUCAUCGAGCAUACACCUUGACUGAUAAGUCUGGGUAAUCUUUUGAAAACCGGUCGUGCUGGGGAUAGAGCAUUGCAAU
This 761-nucleotide ribosomal RNA is filed under the name uncultured eukaryote. Its description in RNAcentral is "SSU rRNA". It matches the Rfam family "Eukaryotic small subunit ribosomal RNA", at positions 805 to 1590 of the family's 1831-position model. The record is from RNAcentral.